Long non-coding RNA from Mercenaria mercenaria, 3029 nucleotides. RefSeq lists it as uncharacterized. The transcript has 6 exons. NCBI's taxonomy places the organism in Eukaryota, Metazoa, Mollusca, Bivalvia, Venerida, Veneridae. The record is from RefSeq and is a predicted model, not a curated record.
UACCCUUUGACCAAAUACGCCAUUUGCACCGGCUGUUCUGGAAGAAAAGAACAUUGAUUUUCGUGCAGAUGUUUUUAUACCAGUAUGCCCGUAUUUGCUCCUUUAAGGUGUGGUAACUUAUUUGCAGGUCGCUGAACUUCAUCAUGUCACAUGCCAGAAUAUACAAACGUAAGGGAGUGAUCAGUCAUAAUAGAAUUUGAACGUACAGUGAAUGUAGCAACAUGGACAGUUUGAUAUACUGUAGUGGACGGAUCAGCAGGGGAGGUAACUAGAGUCCAGAUUGGGACUAGGGCGUAACUUGCCAACAAAAACAGCAAAAAAGAGAAAAUUUUAGUGUGAUGUACAAGUAAAGCAGAAUGCCUAGAGACCAGUUCCUUCAGAAUUGAAGAGAUGCAGGUCUUUAUUCUACAUGGUGAAAGAUGGAAUUAAAGUGGAUAUUUGGAUUUAUCAGUGAAAACCUGUGAAGUGUUAGUGAAGCAGAAUAGUUACAGAUCAUAAGAGAUGCGGGUCUUUGUUCAGCAUGGUGUAUAUGGAAAACAUAGUGGAUGGCCAGCAUAGAAAACAUUUAACGAUGUGAAGCAACAGUCGAGCAGAAUGGUUACAGACCAUUAAUUCAGAACUGAAGAGAUGCAGGUCUAUAGGACUGUGAUGUGUGUACCAGUCUAUCAGGCUAUCCCAUUCUGUCCAGUCAACAAAUUGGCAAUGGCUACAUGGAUUCUCAAGUAACUUGGCAUUACUUAUCACAGUAACAAAGAUAGAUUGCAAAAGUUUUUAGGUGAUUAUACCCCACAAACGAAGUUUUGCGGGGUAUAUACGGGUGAGCUUGUUGGUCGGUCAGCAAGCUCGUUGGUUUUCAUGGUUUACGGAAUAAAACGCAAUAACCUAUGAAAGGCCUCAGAGAUUUAAAUAAUUUUUGGUACACAGGUUUAACAUCAUAAAAUGCAGGUCAAGUUUGACUUUGAGGUUAGUAGGUCAAAAGUCAAGGUCACAAUGAUCCGGAACAGUUAAAUGGUAUCUGGAUAAUAACUUUAGAACACUUUGGCCUAGGGUCAUAAAUUUUAGACACAGAUGUAACAUCAGAAAACACAGGUCGUUUGACUCUAAGGUCAUUAGGUCAAAGGUCAAGGUUACAAUGACCUAGAACAGUUAAACGGAUUCUGGAUGAUAAUUUGAGCUUGCUUGGGCCUAGGAUCAAUAAAUUUUGAUACACAAGUGUAACUGCAAAAAAUACAGGUCGAUUACAAUUUUGAGGUUAGUAGGUCAAAGGUCAAGGUCACAGUGACCCGGAACAGUUAGACCAUUUCCGGACAAUAAGUUGAGAACAGUUGAGCCUAGGAUCAUGAAAGUUGACAGGAAGGUGGGUCAUGACCAGAGUGAAACCAUUCCAGACAGUAACUUUAGAAUGCUUGGGCAUUGGAUUAUAAAAGUUAAUAUGGCGGCUGAUCAUGACCAGCGGAUGACUCCUAUUGGUUUUUGAGGUCAGUAGGUCAAAGGUCAAGGCCGCAUUGACCCAGUAGGGUAGAACUUUUUUGCAAGGUUGACAGAUUUAAAUCAUUUUGAUACACAGUUGUAAUAUCUUCAAAUAUAGGACAAGUUCGACUUUGACAUUGACUUACUUCUCUGCCAAGGCCGUAUUGCGGGGGUAUAAUUCGUCUUUCCUGUGCCACUCUAGGUUUUCUUCGUUGAUUGAAAGCCUUUUAAGUUCACCUGAACACAAAGUGCUCAAGGUGAGGGUUUAGAAUCAUUGGAUGUUUGUCGUCCACCCAUCAAUCAAAAUUACUUUUAAUAGCAUCUCCUCCUGAACAACUAUGCCAAUUUCAACUAAACUUCACAGGAUUGUUCCUUGGGAGAUCCAGUUUCAGAUUUCUUAAAAUCUAAUCGUCAUUCAAUGUCAAAUGUUUUUCUAGUCAAAACAGAACUCAGUGUAGUGUAAAUAGAGAAGACAAUUCAGUAGUGGAUAUAAAAAUUGAUGAAUACAUUGUCAAUGAGCCCGAGUCUCAAUGUUCAAAAGGCACAACACCUGUUAAAACUGAUACAAAUGGUUCCAUUCAGAAUGAUAUGAGAAAUUCUUUAUGCCUGAAAAAAGGUCUUAAUUUCAUACACUUAAAUAUCCACUACUUGUAUCCCAAAUUAGAUGAAAUUAAGUAUUUUUUAGAUGAAAACAGUGAGUUCGAUGUACUUGGUUUUUGUGAAACAUUUUUAAAUGAUCCUUUUACAGACAAUGAACUAUGUUUAUCAAAUUAUCAACUAUUUAGAAAAGACAGAAAAUCAAAUGGAGGAGGAAUUAUUGUUUAUGUGAAAGAAAAAUACCCAUGUUGGCAAAGACAUGAUCUUGAAAAUGAAAAUUUAGAAACUUUAUGGCUAGAAAUCAAACCAAACCAACAAAAAUCUUUCCUGCUAUGUUACACUUACAGACCACCCUCCUGUAACCAGUUUUGGAAUGAAGAAUUUGAAAUGUCAUUAGAGACAGUAUUUCCUGAAAACAAAGAAAUAAUAUUACUAGGAGACUUUAAUUAUAAUUAUAUUGAAAAUAAAUCAGUGAAUAAUGCAUGGAACAAUAUAACAACGAUAAGAGUUACCAUUCUUUAUCUCGCGUGAAGUUGUUUGAGACGAGAACUUAUUUGUUUACAAAAAAUGGCUGAUGAAAAACAUUCACCAUAUCGACAUUAUUGAUAAAUCCCGUUUUCCGGUAUUUCCGUACAUAGGGUCAGGGGGGUCGGCGAGAUUAACCGAUAUAAAGACCGUGUACACUAUGAGCGAUUAUUUUUGCCAGAAGAUAAGAAUUUAUGAAAGAUCUUACUUUCUCACAAUGGAAAUACUAUUCUACGACUUCGGCAACAUUGUUUUUUGCAAAAAUAAUCUGUUUAUCUUGAACAAUGCAAAAAAUUUCACACCUUCGGUAUCGAGCCACGGAAGCGGCAGUGUAGAAUAAAAGAUAAAAUUUCAAAAAUAAAGUAAACUUUGAGGAUAUUUUUGCUAUAUCUUAAUUACAACAAUGUUUAAUGAUAAUCUGCAAUACUUUUUUUAUU